CUACGGGGGGCUCCAGUGGGGAAUAUUGCACAAUGGGGGAAACCCUGAUGCAGCAACGCCGCGUGGAGGAUGACGCAUUUCGGUGUGUAAACUCCUUUUAUAUAGGAAGAUAAUGACGGUACUAUAUGAAUAAGCACCGGCUAACUCCGUGCCAGCAGCCGCGGUAAUACGGAGGGUGCAAGCGUUACUCGGAAUCACUGGGCGUAAAGCGCGCGCAGGCGGCAUUUUAAGUUGGAUGUGAAAGCCUAUGGCUUAACCAUAGAACUGCAUCCAAAACUAUCAGGCUAGAGUCUGGGAGGGGAAGAUGGAAUUAGUUGUGUAGGGGUAAAAUCCGUAGAGAUAACUAGGAAUACCAAAAGCGAAGGCGAUCUUCUGGAACAGUACUGACGCUGAGGCGCGAAAGCGUGGGGAGCAAACGGGAUUAGAUACCCUCGUAGUC
Molecule: ribosomal RNA, 439 nt
Filed under: uncultured bacterium
Lineage: Bacteria
Description: partial 16S ribosomal RNA
Rfam family: Bacterial small subunit ribosomal RNA
Source: RNAcentral